This 253-nucleotide ribosomal RNA is filed under the name uncultured bacterium. RNAcentral's name for it is "partial 16S ribosomal RNA". It matches the Rfam family "Bacterial small subunit ribosomal RNA", at positions 524 to 776 of the family's 1533-position model. The record is from RNAcentral.
UACAGAGGGGGCAAGCGUUGUUCGGAAUUACUGGGCGUAAAGCGUGCGCAGGCGGCUUUGCAAGACAGAUGUGAAAUCCCCGGGCUUAACCUGGGAACUGCAUUUGUGACUGCAUGGCUGGAGUGCGGCAGAGGGGGAUGGAAUUCCGCGUGUAGCAGUGAAAUGCGUAGAGAUGUGGAGGAACACCGAUGGCGAAGGCAGCCCCCUGGGCUAACACUGACGCUCAUGCACGAAAGCGUGGGGAGCAAACAGG